Molecule: ribosomal RNA, 497 nt
Filed under: uncultured bacterium
Lineage: Bacteria
Description: partial 16S ribosomal RNA
Rfam family: Bacterial small subunit ribosomal RNA
Source: RNAcentral
GAUGAACGCUGGCGGCGUGCCUAAUACAUGCAAGUCGAGCGAACAGACGAGGAGCUUGCUCCUCUGACGUUAGCGGCGGACGGGUGAGUAACACGUGGAUAACCUACCUAUAAGACUGGGAUAACUUCGGGAAACCGGAGCUAAUACCGGAUAAUAUAUUGAACCGCAUGGUUCAAUAGUGAAAGACGGUUUUGCUGUCACUUAUAGAUGGAUCCGCGCCGCAUUAGCUAGUUGGUAAGGUAACGGCUUACCAAGGCAACGAUGCGUAGCCGACCUGAGAGGGUGAUCGGCCACACUGGAACUGAGACACGGUCCAGACUCCUACGGGAGGCAGCAGUAGGGAAUCUUCCGCAAUGGGCGAAAGCCUGACGGAGCAACGCCGCGUGAGUGAUGAAGGUCUUCGGAUCGUAAAACUCUGUUAUUAGGGAAGAACAAAUGUGUAAGUAACUAUGCACGUCUUGACGGUACCUAAUCAGAAAGCGACGGCUAACUACGUG